UACGUAGGGAGCGAGCGUUGUCCGGAUUCAUUGGGCGUAAAGAGCUCGUAGGCGGCUUGGCAAGUCGGGUGUGAAAACUCCAGGCUCAACCUGGAGACGCCACCUGAUACUGCCAUGGCUAGAGUCCGGUAGGGGACCACGGAAUUCCUGGUGUAGCGGUGAAAUGCGCAGAUAUCAGGAGGAGCACCGGUGGCGAAGGCGGUGGUCUGGGCCGGUAACUGGACGCUGGAGGAGCGAAAGCGUGGGGAGCGAACAGG
RNAcentral lists this ribosomal RNA (257 nucleotides) under uncultured bacterium. RNAcentral's name for it is "partial 16S ribosomal RNA". It matches the Rfam family "Bacterial small subunit ribosomal RNA", at positions 524 to 776 of the family's 1533-position model. The record is from RNAcentral.